UGGGAUGUGGCUUAGUAGUAGAGUGCUUACUUAGUAUGUGAGAGGCCCUGGGUUUGAUCCCUAGUACCACAG
RNAcentral lists this transfer RNA (72 nucleotides) under Ictidomys tridecemlineatus (thirteen-lined ground squirrel). RNAcentral describes it as "Spermophilus tridecemlineatus (thirteen-lined ground squirrel) tRNA". It matches the Rfam family "tRNA". From Rfam's summary of the family: Transfer RNA (tRNA) molecules are approximately 80 nucleotides in length. Their secondary structure includes four short double-helical elements and three loops (D, anti-codon, and T loops). Further hydrogen bonds mediate the characteristic L-shaped molecular structure. tRNAs have two regions of fundamental functional importance: the anti-codon, which is responsible for specific mRNA codon recognition, and the 3' end, to which the tRNAs corresponding amino acid is attached (by aminoacyl-tRNA synthetases). tRNAs cope with the degeneracy of the genetic code in two manners: having more than one tRNA (with a specific anti-codon) for a particular amino acid; and 'wobble' base-pairing, i.e. permitting non-standard base-pairing at the 3rd anti-codon position. Lineage: Eukaryota; Metazoa; Chordata; Mammalia; Rodentia; Sciuridae. The record is from Rfam by way of RNAcentral.